GCCUACGGGGGGCAGCAGUGGGGGAUAUUGCACAAUGGGGGGAACCCUGAUGCAGCGACGCCGCGUGGGUGAAGGAGUAUUUCGGUAUGUAAAGCCCUAUCGGCAGGGAAGAAUUUAGACGGUACCUGACUAAGAAGCCCCGGCUAACUACGUGCCAGCAGCCGCGGUAAUACGUAGGGGGCAAGCGUUAUCCGGAUUCACUUGGUGUAAAGGGAGCGUAGACGGCCAGGCAGGCCUGGAGUGAAAGCCCGGGGCCCAACCCCCGGACCGCUCUGGGAACUGUCCGGCUUG
RNAcentral lists this ribosomal RNA (291 nucleotides) under uncultured bacterium. RNAcentral describes it as "partial 16S ribosomal RNA". It matches the Rfam family "Bacterial small subunit ribosomal RNA", at positions 337 to 644 of the family's 1533-position model. The record is from RNAcentral.